ACGCACUGGCGUCCAGUGCAGCGCUGCUCACCGUAGCCAGGACACAGGCCCAGCCUGGUGUCCGUCACAAAGGAACGCGAGCACACUGUGUGGAUAUCCACACAGUGCCUGUUAUUUGGCCAGAAAAAGGAAAGCAGCACCGAUGCGUGCUGCACCGUGGGUGAACUUUGGAAACAUACCUAGACACAGAAGGUCACCUGUUGUGCAGUUCCAUCUGAACUUUGACCUGGACCGGGGCGUGUUUCCAGUGGUCAUCCAGGCUGUGGUGGACGAAGGAGAUGUGGUGGAAGUGACCGGCCAUGCCCACGUGCUCUUGGCCGCCUUUGAAAAGCACAUGGACGGCAGCUUCUCUGUGAAGCCUUUAAAGCAGAAGCAAAUUGUGGACCGGGUCAGCUACCUCCUGCAGGAGAUCUACGGCAUCGAGAACAAGAACAACCAGGAGACCAAGCCCUCGGAUGACGAGAACAGCGACAACAGCAAUGAGUGUGUGGUGUGCCUGUCCGACCUGCGGGACACGCUGAUCCUGCCCUGCCGCCACCUGUGCCUCUGUACCUCCUGCGCUGACACGCUGCG
Molecule: small RNA, 573 nt
Filed under: Pongo abelii (Sumatran orangutan)
Lineage: Eukaryota; Metazoa; Chordata; Mammalia; Primates; Hominidae
Description: processed transcript
Source: RNAcentral